GUUGGUAUCGAUUAGGGGUUAAAUCACUUCGUUGUGGUUGUUGACACUUCCGAAGAGCCGCUGGUUCGAUUCCAGCUACCGACA
This is a non-coding RNA of Phlegmacium glaucopus, 84 nucleotides long. Lineage: Eukaryota; Fungi; Basidiomycota; Agaricomycetes; Agaricales; Cortinariaceae. The record is from the annotation of a GenBank genome assembly.